Molecule: ribosomal RNA, 565 nt
Filed under: Saccharomycopsis fibuligera
Lineage: Eukaryota; Fungi; Ascomycota; Saccharomycetes; Ascoideales; Saccharomycopsidaceae
Description: partial large subunit ribosomal RNA
Rfam family: Eukaryotic large subunit ribosomal RNA
Source: RNAcentral
AAACCAACAGGGAUUGCCUUAGUAACGGCGAGUGAAGCGGCAAAAGCUCAAAUUUGAAAGCUAGCACCUUCGGUGUUCGCGUUGUAAUUUGAAGAUAGUUUCCUUGAGUAGUCCUUUAUCUAUGUUCCUUGGAACAGGACGUCAUAGAGGGUGAGAACCCCGUAUGAUUUUGGAUACUACUCUUUGUGGGAUUCUAUCGAAGAGUCGAGUUGUUUGGGAAUGCAGCUCUAAGUGGGUGGUAAAUUCCAUCUAAAGCUAAAUAUUGGCGAGAGGCCGAUAGCGAACAAGUACAGUGAUGGAAAGAUGAAAAGAACUCUGAAGAGAGAGUGAAAAAGUACGUGAAAUUGCUGAAAGGGAAGGGCUUGAGGUCAGACUUGGUGUUUAAUGAUUAUCAGUUCUUCUUGGACUGUGCACUCGUUUUUCACCGGGCCAAUAUCAGUUUUAGCGGUAGAGUACCCCUUGAAAUGUGGCUUCCUUCGGGGAGUGUUAUAGUCUUGGGGAGAUCUACUUGCUGGGAUUGAGGACUGCGCUUCGGCAAGGAUAUUGGCGAAUGACCUUAAGCCGC